GAAAACAAUAAGGUUGUAUUUCACACUAUCCUUACUCCACAAUCACUAAGUUGAAAUUGAAAUAGCAAACAAUAAAAUACACUGGCAUUGUGACUAUAUUAACCUUAAGUCCAUUAUUGAUAAGAUUGGAUACAAUACAUAUAUUAUUUUCUUUUUAGCAUAAUGUUCUGGGAUAUCAAAGAAAUAAAUUUAUUCUACUGAAUUCAGUCAAGGAUAAGAAUUUCAGGGAAUGAAUUUUUAUAUAGCAUGCUUAAUGAUGUGCAUCAUUGAGUGGAGCCAGCACUUUCGACACAUGCAGAUAGCUUAAUUUCAUUGAUAGUUAUUGUCAAUCGCAAUAACCUGAUAGUCAUCUAAAUGCCUCCUCUUAAAAUCCACACGUAGUCCCUUCUUGACAUGCAAACUGACCAAAGGAAGAAAGUGAUAUGCAACAGAGAGGAGAUGGGGCAUACAGACUACAGACAGAGAAGAAGAUGGGCAAUACAUGACAUUAAGACAUUAAGAUGGAACUUUAAUCUCUAUACUACAUGCCACGGAAUAUACCACGUUUUGCAUGCCACAGAAUAUACCACGUUUUGCCUACCAAAAAUAUGAGAUUUCCAUGCAAAGCUACUAGAAAUUUCAAAACAAGGAACUACUAACCCAUGUAACAUGCAUUAAAACCCUAUCAACCAUACUAGCUAUCAGC
RNAcentral lists this unclassified non-coding RNA (685 nucleotides) under Hevea brasiliensis (rubber tree). The record is from RNAcentral. Lineage: Eukaryota; Viridiplantae; Streptophyta; Magnoliopsida; Malpighiales; Euphorbiaceae.